GGUGUAGGCGGCCUUUCAAGUCGGAUGUUAAAUCUCCUGGCCUAACUAGGAGGGUGCAUCCGAUACUGUUGGGCUGGAGUGCAGUAGAGGAAAGCGGAAUUCCCGGUGUAGUGGUGAAAUGCGUAGAUAUCGGGAGGAACACCAGUGGCGAAGGCGGCUUUCUGGGCUGUUACUGACGCUGAGGCCCGAAGGCGUGGGGAGCAAACAGGAUUAGAUACCCUGGUAGUCCACGCAGUAAACGAUGGAUACUAGGUAUGGGGAGUAUCGACCCUCCCUGUGCCGAAGUUAACGCUUUAAGUAUCCCGCCUGGGGACUACGGUCGCAAGACUAA
This 331-nucleotide ribosomal RNA is filed under the name uncultured bacterium. RNAcentral describes it as "bacterial SSU rRNA". It matches the Rfam family "Bacterial small subunit ribosomal RNA", at positions 568 to 897 of the family's 1533-position model. The record is from RNAcentral.